UACGUAGGGGGCAAGCGUUGUCCGGAUUUAUUGGGCGUAAAGAGCGUGUAGGCGGCCAGACAGGUCAGCUGUGAAAACUCGAGGCUCAACCUCGAGACGUCGGUUGAAACCGUCUGGCUAGAGUCCGGAAGAGGAGAGUGGAAUUCCUGGUGUAGCGGUGAAAUGCGCAGAUAUCAGGAGGAACACCAAUGGCGAAAGCAGCUCGCUAGGACGGUACUGACGCUGAGACGCGAAAGCGUGGGGAGCGAACAGG
This 253-nucleotide ribosomal RNA is filed under the name uncultured bacterium. RNAcentral's name for it is "partial 16S ribosomal RNA". It matches the Rfam family "Bacterial small subunit ribosomal RNA", at positions 524 to 776 of the family's 1533-position model. The record is from RNAcentral.